Molecule: transfer RNA, 87 nt
Filed under: Chitinophagaceae bacterium
Lineage: Bacteria; Pseudomonadati; Bacteroidota; Chitinophagia; Chitinophagales; Chitinophagaceae
Also listed under: 1 other name
Description: tRNA-Ser
Rfam family: tRNA
About the family: Transfer RNA (tRNA) molecules are approximately 80 nucleotides in length. Their secondary structure includes four short double-helical elements and three loops (D, anti-codon, and T loops).
Source: RNAcentral
GGAGACUUGUCCGAGUGGCUGAAGGAGCACGCUUGGAAAGCGUGUGUAGGGGUAACUCUACCGAGGGUUCGAAUCCCUCAGUCUCCG